Molecule: ribosomal RNA, 446 nt
Filed under: uncultured bacterium
Lineage: Bacteria
Description: bacterial SSU rRNA
Rfam family: Bacterial small subunit ribosomal RNA
Source: RNAcentral
UAGGGAAUAUUGCGCAAUGGACGAAAGUCUGACGCAGCGACGCCGCGUGAGUGAUGAAGGCCUUAGGGUCGUAAAGCUCUGUUGAAUGGGAAGAAAAAAUGACGGUACCAUUCGAGGAAGGACCGGCUAACUUCGUGCCAGCAGCCGCGGUAAUACGAGGGGUCCUAGCGUUGUUCGGAAUCAUUGGGCGUAAAGGGUGUGUAGGUGGCUAAGUAAGUCAGGUGUGAAAGCCCCGGGCUCAACCCGGGAAGUGCAUCUGAUACUGCGUAGCUUGAGUACCGAAGAGGAUAGUGGAAUUCCAGGUGUAGUGGUGAAAUACGUAGAUAUCUGGAGGAACACCGGUGGCGAAGGCGGCUAUCUGGUCGAGUACUGACACUGAGACACGAAAGCAUGGGGAUCAAACAGGAUUAGAUACCCCCGUAGUCCCUGAGCGGGCUGGCAAGGCG